GUGAUCUGCCCUCUUCAGCCUCCCAAAGUGGUGGGACUACAGCAACAUCUAAACUGGUAUUUGACCAAACAUCUGGGCAUCAUAGCCUAGCCAAGUUGAAACAAAAAAUUCCAUCGCAAAGAUGCUGAUGCUGUAUGAGAGGUUAGGAGAUUUAAACUCCACUCUAAUGGAAAUGACCCAUGGAGAUAGGUGCUGAAGUUUUUGGUCUCAAUAGCUGUCUCUAGGCUAAAAUGUCUUAGCUCUACGUUGCCGUUCUUUGAGAUACUAGUGUCUUGUGUUUAUAGAUUAAAUAGCUUGGCUGUAUAAGUACUGACCAAAAACGUAUUAGCUUUUCCAUAGACUCUGAAUAUAAAAUACAUUUAGCGACUGCUUCAGUGUUCACAUAGAAGUAAAGUUAUUUUUAAAUUAACCUUUGUAUGUUUUUCCAGCCUUAAUGUCUUUAUAUGAGUUCAAGAUGAUGAACAGUCUUGGUAUAACGUGAAAUCAUUUGUGAAUUUGGAUAAGAGCAGUAUAUGCCUAUUCAAAAAUAUUAUUCUAGGUAUCUAUUAUAUAACAUGGUUACAGUAUAAAGCUUUUUGUUGUUACUCUAUACAGCUAAAACUCAUGAAAUACUCAAUUACAGUUGUUAGUUAAAUCAACAAAAGCACUCUAGAAACACUGCCAAUUAGCUUGCUCAGAUAAGUUUUAAUUUGCAUGUAAAGGAUGUUAGUUAAAUGUCAAUUGCUUCCUCAAGAUGAAUUAUUGCUAUUUCUCUGUAGUUAACUCGAAAACAUGUUGCAAGAAUUUUGAGAGAAUUUUGUUUAGACAGUAAGUCAACUGCAUCUAUUCAACCUCUUUUUUUUAGAUUUAGCAAAGUGAGCCAAUAAUUGUGUCUUUUAUUAAAUUUUAAUCAAAUAUUUAAUUGCAAUUUUAUGUUAUUGUGAAAACAUAUGGCAUAUGAUCUAGUAUUCAGAUUAGUAUUAAUAACUACAUUUUUGUUGCUGAUUUUCAAAUAUUUGUUACAUGUAGAAAAAAAUGGGAUUUCUGUCUGCCUAAUGACAUUUUUUGAGUUAGUAAACAUUUUAUUAGAAACAAAUACUGAAAAUUUCCAUAGUACAAGGAGGGUAAAAUGUUCAUUGUCUUCUUGAAAGGUCUAGACAGAAAUCCUAAGACUACAGAUUAAUAUCAUACAAUUGAAGAUGUUUAAAACUAUGUGAUCUCUAGCAUUGUUCUGUGUUUUGAAUAUAAUUAUCCUGUGUACAUUGAUCUUGCAAGCUGAAAUAGUAAUAAUAUUAGAAAAGCCAAUCAAUAAUUAUAUUAAAAUCUGAGAUUUGCUAAGAUGAAGAUGUAAAGUUCUCUGGUCUGUUAUAAUUGUAAAUCACUCUUUAUACAUUUUUAUUAUACUUAUACCCACCUCUGUUACAGAAACCACAUUUUUUUUCCCUUCAACCCCUUGGCUUGUGGUUAAUUGG
This 1451-nucleotide long non-coding RNA is filed under the name Homo sapiens (human). Its description in RNAcentral is "HSALNT0321532". Lineage: Eukaryota; Metazoa; Chordata; Mammalia; Primates; Hominidae. The record is from RNAcentral.